Molecule: ribosomal RNA, 464 nt
Filed under: Vreelandella stevensii
Lineage: Bacteria; Pseudomonadati; Pseudomonadota; Gammaproteobacteria; Oceanospirillales; Halomonadaceae
Description: partial 16S ribosomal RNA
Rfam family: Bacterial small subunit ribosomal RNA
Source: RNAcentral
CCUACGGGAGGCUGCAGUGGGGAAUAUUGGACAAUGGGCGAAAGCCUGAUCCAGCCAUGCCGCGUGUGUGAAGAAGGCCUUCGGGUUGUAAAGCACUUUCAGUGGGGAAGAAAGCCUUGGGGCUAAUACCCUCGAGGAAGGACAUCACCCACAGAAGAAGCACCGGCUAACUCCGUGCAGCAGCCGCGGUAAUACGGAGGGUGCGAGCGUUAAUCGGAAUUACUGGGCGUAAAGCGCGCGUAGGCGGUCUGAUAAGCCGGUUGUGAAAGCCCCGGGCUCAACCUGGGAACGGCAUCCGGAACUGUCAGGCUAGAGUGCAGGAGAGGAAGGUAGAAUUCCCGGUGUAGCGGUGAAAUGCGUAGAGAUCGGGAGGAAUACCAGUGGCGAAGGCGGCCUUCUGGACUGACACUGACGCUGAGGUGCGAAAGCGUGGGUAGCAAACAGGAUUAGAUACCCCGGUAGUC